UGCAUCGGCUGGGAAUCGAACCUGGGCCGCCCGCGUGGCAGGCGAGCAUUUUACCACUGAACCAUCGAUUGC
RNAcentral lists this transfer RNA (72 nucleotides) under Cordylochernes scorpioides. RNAcentral's name for it is "tRNA-Gly". Lineage: Eukaryota; Metazoa; Arthropoda; Arachnida; Pseudoscorpiones; Chernetidae. The record is from RNAcentral.